UCCAGUGACAUUACUGAGAAGGCCACACCCGUUCCCAUUCCGAAUACGGUAGUUAAGCUUCUCGAGGUCGAUGGUACUUUAGUCGCAAGGCUAUGGGAGAGUAGAACGUCACUGGAU
RNAcentral lists this ribosomal RNA (117 nucleotides) under Candidatus Omnitrophota bacterium. The record is from RNAcentral. Lineage: Bacteria; Pseudomonadati; Candidatus Omnitrophota.